Molecule: ribosomal RNA, 585 nt
Filed under: fungal endophyte
Lineage: Eukaryota; Fungi
Description: eukaryotic LSU rRNA
Rfam family: 5.8S ribosomal RNA (bases 204-357)
Source: RNAcentral
CAUUACAGAGUUUUCUAACUCCCAAACCCAUGUGAACUUACCACUGUUGCCUCGGCGGAGCCUACCCUGUAGCUACCCUGUAGCGUGAUUACCCUGUAGGGUGGUUACCCUGUAGCGUGGUUACCCUGUAGCGCCCCGCCGGCGGAUUUUCAAACUCUUGUUAUUUUUUAAGUCAUCUGAGAGUCUUAUUUUAAAUAAGUCAAAACUUUCAACAACGGAUCUCUUGGUUCUGGCAUCGAUGAAGAACGCAGCGAAAUGCGAUAAGUAAUGUGAAUUGCAGAAUUCAGUGAAUCAUCGAAUCUUUGAACGCACAUUGCGCCCAUUAGUAUUCUAGUGGGCAUGCCUGUUCGAGCGUCAUUUCAACCCUUAAGCCUAGCUUAGUGUUGGGAAUCUAUGUGUGGCCCAAGCUACCCUGUAGCGUGGUUACCCUGUAGUUCCUGAAAAACAACGGCGGAUUUAUAGUGUCCUCUGAGCGUAGUAAUUUUUUAUCUCGCUUCUGUUUAGGCGCUGCAGACCCGGCCGCUAAACCCCCAAUUUUUCGUGGUUGACCUCGGAUCAGGUAGGAAUACCCGCUGAACUUAAGCA